Molecule: long non-coding RNA, 1713 nt
Organism: Pteropus alecto (black flying fox)
Lineage: Eukaryota; Metazoa; Chordata; Mammalia; Chiroptera; Pteropodidae
Exons: 3
Source: RefSeq, a predicted model, not a curated record
GGAAGAUGGAACCCUGGAGGAUCUCGCAACUAAAUGCUCCAGCCUGGCUGAAAUAUAUGUCACUUCUGCAUCCAAUCGAUUGACUAGAAUUAGUCAUAUGGCUCUGCCCAACCGCUAGGGAAGCUGGGAAGUUUACUCCUCCCAUGUUUCCCAAAGGAGAAGAGAACUGAAUAUGGAAAAUUUGUCUCCAAUGUGCUGUUGGGCCAUACGUUGUCUCUUUAUUACAUCCCAGAGGGAGAAAGUUAAGUGGAAAAGAUUCUGCAGUUUAACUAUGAGAGGACAUUAUACAUUUCAGUAGAAGAAAAAAAUUCAUCAAAAGAUGCUGAAGAAAGACUCUUGCGACGACUCAGUUUUACCCUUUCCAUCUGAAGUCAGUCGGUCUUUGGUGCAGCUUAUCUCCUUUUGAGGGCCUGGAAUUGAGGGAGAGCUGGCAAGGACAGAAGGAAGAGAAAAGAUCCAGGUACAGUGACUGGAAGCUGCACCACCCAAGAAAGUCUCAGGAUACACAACAGGGGAAGGCACUGAAGUCCUAAGCUGGAAAACAAAGCAAAACAAAACAAAGGCCCAGCAUGGGAAAAGAUGAAAUGCAAUACUGAACACAGAGUACAUACUGAGGCAUCUUUUUAUAUGGUGAAUGGUAGAGUUUUGUGGCCUGAAUUCAUAGACAAUAACAUAGAAUUUAAUAAUACAAAAGCUACUAUUUAUUGAAUGCUUCUUGGACCAGGGACCAUGCUAAGUACUUUACAGAGAUUGUUUUACUCAGUCCUCAUACAACCAUUGGUUUUGGUCUCAUUUCACAGAUGAGGAAAUGGAGGGUUGAAAAGAUUAAGCAUUCACCCAGUAAGUAGGCCAGCAGUCUGACUCCAGAGUCUAGAACACUCUCUGCCACCUUAUAGUGCCAAUGUAUUGGUGAGGGUUCUUAUUCGCAAGCAACAAAAACGAACUCUAAAGGAGAAAAAUGCUGGAGGAAAGAGGCCUCAUAGAUCCGAAGAGACUGAGAGAACAGCCUUGGAAAACAGGCAGGGAUCCAAGGCUUCAAGGGGCCAGACCACAGGAAGACUAUGCAAGAUGCCGCCAUCUCUGCUUCUGCUGCGCCACCGCUGGACAUCAUGCUGACCUCAUCAGCUGCCCCAGAUGCUCUUCCUUCAUCUCUGGGUGCACAGGCCUGGGUGGGAGGGUUCACUGCCAGGUGUUGGGGACCCUACUCCACAUUCCAGGAUGUGGGGAGAGUGAGAGUCAAACUGUUUGGAAAACAUGCUCCUACAUCCCAAGAUCACACUCAGUGAUGUAAGGACAGAUGGAUUUGGACAGGCAAAAGAAUGUACAAUGCCCUCCCAGAUUACCUACUGUAGCCACUUUGUAGCAAAUCAUUCCAUUAGGAAAGUAAAUGUAGGUCUGUUAAAAUAAUUUUGAAAGGUCAGGCAAGGUGGAUUUGUGCAAAUAUUAAAUAAUGCAGAUCAAAACCUGAUUGGCCUAGAAAUUCAUCCUAAUAGUGUUAUUUGCAAUCUCUAAAUGCAAACUUUGAAAAGACAAAUUUGGUGACCCAUAUGCUAAACAUUAAUUAAUUAGAAUGUUUAGGGAAUGGAAUGUUCUUAUUAACUUAAAUUUCUAACUAAAUGUGAUUAAGGCUUUUAAAAAAUCCAUAAACCUUUAUAUUUCAGAUCUUGUCACUAGAAUUCUUAAUAAAAUAUUUGGCUUGUGAAGGCUUUGAAA